Molecule: ribosomal RNA, 895 nt
Filed under: uncultured archaeon
Lineage: Archaea
Description: bacterial SSU rRNA
Rfam family: Bacterial small subunit ribosomal RNA
Source: RNAcentral
AGAGUUUGAUCGUGGCUCAGGAUGAACGCUGGCGGCGUGCCUAAUACAUGCAAGUCGAGCGGGAUCCUCUGGAUUCGUCUAGAGGUGAGAGCGGCGGACGGGUGAGUAACACGUAGGUGACCUGCCCCGAAGACAGGGAUAACCACUGGAAACGGUGGCUAAUACCCGAUGUGCUCGGCGAUUCAUUUCGUCGAGUAAAGCUCCGGCGCUUCGGGAUGGACCUGCGGCCUAUCAGCUAGUUGGUAGGGUAAUGGCCUACCAAGGCGAAGACGGGUAGGGGGCGUGAGAGCGCGACCCCCCACACUGGCACUGAGAUACGGGCCAGACUCCUACGGGAGGCAGCAGUCGGGGAUAUUGCACAAUCGGCGCAAGCCGGAUGCAGCGACGCCGCGUGGGCGAUGAAGGCCUUCGGGUUGUAAAGCCCUUUUCUGGGGGAAGAGAAAAAGGACGGUACCUCAGGAACAAGUCCCGGCUAACUACGUGCCAGCAGCCGCGGUAAAACGUAGGGGACGAGCGUUAUCCGGAUUUACUGGGCGUAAAGUGCGUUGAGGCGGUUCCGUAAGUUGGGCGUGAAAGCCCCGGGCUCAACCCGGGGAGGUCGUUCAAUACUGCGGAACUUGAGGACAGCAGAGGGAGGUGGAAUUCCCGGUGUAGUGGUGAAAUGCGUAGAUAUCGGGAGGAACACCAGUGGCGAAGGCGGCCUCCUGGGCUGUUCCUGACGCUGAAGGCGAAAGCUAGGGGAGCAAACGGGAUUAGAAACCCCGGUAGUCCUAGCCGUAAACGAUGGAUGCUGGGUGUGGGGGGUAUAGACUCCCUCCGUGCCGAAGCUAACGCGUUAAGCAUCCCGCCUGAGGAGUACGGCCGCAAGGCUAAAACUCAAAGGAAUUGGCGGGGG